CAUGAAUACAAUUUUGAGGUAUACAGAAUUUUCAGGAUGGUGCUGGUCGCGUGGGGAAGAUGCUUUAUGCACUGCAAGGAAAGAAAUUUGAUUAUGAUCUAAAGAAGCUAAGCUUCGCGAUUAUCUUCUGAUGGAGUUGGGUGCUGGUGUUUAGUUGGUGUCCAAAAUGAAGCAAGUGAUGAAGACAUUCACCUUAAGAAAAUGAUGAAGACAUUGGUUUUCUUUCGGUUAGAGGCUUUUGUGGAACUAUUAAGGGUGGAAAUGGAUGGGAUCGGUAUUGGUGUCAGCCUUAGUAUUUGUAUUGGUAUUAGGGCUUACACCAAUUGGAUGUAUAGUUGGUUGUUCCAUCCUCUUUUAUUUUGGUAUUAUAUAAAAUUAUUAUGGAACUUAUAUGGUUAUGUUUCCAGAAUAUUGUUUGGUUGGUAUUGGUUAUCCGUUGGUUAUCGAACGAUUGGACUCA
This is a long non-coding RNA of Capsicum annuum, 460 nucleotides long. RefSeq lists it as uncharacterized. The record is from RefSeq and is a predicted model, not a curated record. NCBI's taxonomy places the organism in Eukaryota, Viridiplantae, Streptophyta, Magnoliopsida, Solanales, Solanaceae. The transcript has 3 exons.